UAAAUACUACCUGGCGACCGAUAGUGAAUCAGUACCGUGAGGGAAAGGUGAAAAGCACCCCGGAAGGGGAGUGAAAUAGAACCUGAAACCGUGUGCUUACAAAAAGUCAGAGCCCGAUCUAUGGGUGAUGGCGUGCCUUUUGUAGAAUGAACCGGCGAGUUACGUUUAACAUGCAAGGUUAAGUCGAGAAGACGGAGCCGCAGCGAAAGCGAGUCUGAAUAGGGCGA
RNAcentral lists this ribosomal RNA (227 nucleotides) under Paenibacillus agri. RNAcentral's name for it is "Bacterial large subunit ribosomal RNA". It matches the Rfam family "Bacterial large subunit ribosomal RNA", at positions 467 to 695 of the family's 2925-position model. The record is from Rfam by way of RNAcentral. Lineage: Bacteria; Bacillati; Bacillota; Bacilli; Caryophanales; Paenibacillaceae.